Molecule: transfer RNA, 412 nt
Filed under: uncultured Alphaproteobacteria bacterium
Lineage: Bacteria; Pseudomonadati; Pseudomonadota; Alphaproteobacteria
Description: partial 16S-23S ribosomal RNA intergenic spacer
Rfam family: tRNA (bases 83-156)
Source: RNAcentral
UUGUUUUUAUUCUAAAUAAUUUACAGGCUAAUGUUGACCGUCCUCGUUUCUCUUCUUAAAAGUGAGUGUUUCUCUUGAAUGGGGGCCGGUAGCUCAGUUGGUUAGAGCACACCCUUGAUAAGGGUGGGGUCGAAAGUUCGAGUCUUUCUCGGCCCACCAAAAGAUUAAGGGGGGAUUAGCUCAGCUGGGAGAGCGCCUGAUUUGCAUUCAGGAGGUCAGCGGUUCGAUCCCGCUAUCCUCCACCAAAACACUUAGCUAUUAAAAUUGUAAAUAAUAAUUAUUAAUAUCAAUAUCUAUAUCCGAACAUUAACAAUGUUGUUAUCAAGUUAAUGUUCAAAAAAAUUUAAUUCAACACAGAAUUUUUUUCUGUGCAUAAAUUAAGCGUUUAAGGGCGUGUGGUGGAUGCCUUGGC